AGGCCUGGGGGUCGCCGCCAUGCUUUUUCGUUUCGCACUUCUUUUUCUUCUAUUUUUCUUCUUCUUUCUUCCUUAUUCCCGCCACGACGCGAACCAAGGAGUGCCCCCUUUCCCGCCGUAAUAGGAAUGAAAUGUGGAAUAGUGCGCCAAAAGUUUCGGGAGGCGCAUAAAUUGAUGUGUCCGAGAAUACGCGCGGCCCCAUGACCCAUCACUCGCUUCUACGGAACACAAUCCAACGCUCGCUCUUCUUUGGGAUACUACAAAAAGAAGUAGUAGGAUUGAAGAAAAGAAAAGU
Caenorhabditis elegans is the source of this 295-nucleotide non-coding RNA. Lineage: Eukaryota; Metazoa; Nematoda; Chromadorea; Rhabditida; Rhabditidae. The record is from Ensembl.